UAGGCGAGGUGCGUGAACGCGGGUUAGGGUAGAAGAGGGCAGGACGAGGUGUGGUCGGCGGUGUGUUGGGAUCGGGGAAAGGGUAGCUAGGGGUGUCGGGGAGGGAGGAAGAGCGAGGAGCGGUACCGGGUAAGGGUGCCGGGGAGGGAGGAGGAGCGAGGAGCGGUACCGGAGGAUGAGGGGAGGUGGUGGUAUGCACGUGUGUCUGCCGCCACGGCCUCUUCUCGUCGAGGUCAGUACCACCCCACGCCGACGCUGCCUCUACUUCCUCCAGGCGGCGGGUACAAACAGAGGAACGACAUAGGAAACAAUGGCUAGGAGGGAAGAGGGAAGCGGGGAUCGUCGUGUCGUCAGCCCCUGUUCCCCUUCCUCGUCCAGCUGGGCUUAGGUAGAGAGACGUUCUCCUGAUCUCCUCGUCCACCGCUCCCUUUGGCCGUGCCAGUCGCCGCCGCGACGUGUCCCUGCAGGUGGAGGCCAAAAGACAGGAUAGAGGCUAAGGGAAGGCAAAUUCACACAAUAAAAAGGAGAACCGGGCUAGAAGAGUGUACAAACCCCAGAGCACGACAUCCCUAUUCUAGACUUUGCCCUCCACACCAUAUUACGUAUCCACAUAUUAGAACCGAUAUAGAUACGACCACUAAACCGAUGGUUGAUGAUUUAGAUGCUUAGUAAACUUUUACAACUUGAACAACAGUCUGUACAAAACUAAUACGAAAAUUCGUGAUACGAAAGGACUAAGUCACGGUAAAUACACCACGUCCUCUUACAGCUAAAUUUCGUAAACCAAGACUACCUAGUAUAAUAACCAAGAGACAAGUUGACUUCUACAGAAAUCUAUCCUGAUUCCACUCAACUCAACACCGAACCAACCUCUACAACUACAACAAACUCUGCGGGCGACCUAAGUGGGAAAAGUUCCAAGACUUGUUCCCGUUCGAGCUCCAGCUCCCCAUAUACCUGGUGUUUACUACACUAUAUGAACCAAUAAAGUUCUACUCAUGCCGAGUCGUCCUUCCAGUUGGCACCCCUUCGCGUUGUAUCGCGCCGGAGUCGGUCAAUCCGAACAAUGUUCGAAGUCGACCUAGUUUAUCACCCGGAAGAUAUAUAUAGAAGUCGACAUAGUAACGAAUGAUAUACAUAGAAGGACAGCUGGUCUUUUUUGUUAUGUAGCUAAGAAACGGAGGAAUAAAGAACGAGUCUAGGGUACUAUGUUGGAGCCACCGACCGGUCGCUGAUUGUCCCACGUGGUGGCUACCACUUUUAUGGAGUGUCCUACUACAACCUGUAAGAAGAUGUUUGAAGUCCGGAUGGCCACCGACUCAGCUUCGUUUUACACUAGUACCGUACUACUAUGUUUUAGUAUUAGGAACAAGGAUACCUUCGUUUUCCUAAGUACUUUGGGUACCACUUUUUUCUCUAUUCUAUGAUGUUAAUGUCAUCGUACCUCUUUGGCUCCUGUGUUUUACUCAGACUUCUUACAAUACCGUCUAAGCAAGAUCGAUCCAUGUACGCCCGAAGAGAAUGUAUAUACGUUGCAUUCUUACACUUACUGGUCUUGAUAACACUACAACGAGAUAACAUUCUCAUGUUUAUUGAGUACCGAUAGAAAGAAAACAAAUGUACACUACACACCAUCUUCUACAUGAACGUCCUUCUGAAACCCCGAAAAAUCAACGAAGGGAGUAAGCGGGACGGUUUAGUACCCGGCUGGUUUUCUUAACCGCUCGUUUAGCGGGCGGGACCAAAGCGGUUUGUUAAAUUGUACCUUAGUCUACCUCCCUCACACCCGCUCGACCCGUACGGUUAUUUAGCACACGCUAGGUUCGUCUACGGGUGCGGGGUCAGUUACGGUUAUAAAACCGAACCGUCAACUCCCGUCACUAGGUUUGCCGGGGAAAAUUUGAAUGUUUAUUUCGAAAUCGUUCACACAAGAAUCAGUAGUGGGAAAGUUUGUUAUAUAGUAGAAGACCAAGAAAUUAGACAUAACAUGUCGGAGGCUGAUA
RNAcentral lists this ribosomal RNA (2003 nucleotides) under Triticum aestivum (bread wheat). Its description in RNAcentral is "partial small subunit ribosomal RNA". The record is from RNAcentral. Lineage: Eukaryota; Viridiplantae; Streptophyta; Magnoliopsida; Poales; Poaceae.